CUGUAGGAAAAGCAAGCACGUUCAUGGAGCCCCUGCCUCCAGACGGCUUCCCAGGGUCCCCCUCUGCGGGAGUCACUCAGGGAAGACUCCUUCCCGCAUCCCGGCUCCCCAACACAGACGGGGGCCCUGCUGCUCAGGCAGAGCCUCCUCUGAGGGGGUUACCCUUCCCGGCAGACUCCAGGGUGGUGGCUUCCCUUUGUCGCUGAGCCAGAUGCUGGGAGCUGGAGAAGAAAUGGUGUUCAAAACUCAAGUUCCCAUUCAGUUUGGCAUGAAAAAGUUGGAGGGACCAUUGCAACUCAUAGUACUCCCUCUUCUAUAUCUCUCCAUGCCUCCACUUAAUGGAUUCUCCAAGAAGGAAGCUCAUUCCCAUAGUUAGAAGCCUGAGGAACCAGGGGAACUUGAGGUUUGGAGACAGGUUCUAAACAAGAGGAGAAGCAACAGAAAGACAAAGAAGAUAGAAGGAACAAGGGUUGGGGAAGGAGAACAAAGGCUCCUCUAAUCCCAGAAGUUUCUGAGUGUCCUUAAGAAUGUAACUUAGUGUUGAUUUUUGGUGGAAAAAAAAUCUUUCCUCAUAUGACACUCAAAAACUUUCUUUCUCUCUCUUUCCUCUGCCCUGAUAGCAGUUAAUUUUGUACAAGUUGGAGUGCAUUCAAUCCAGUGUAUAUGCCUAAAUGACUUCCGGCUCGAAUGCCUCAUUAGAAUGCCGGCUGUGAGGCUCACUGUUCUGCUCUCAGGCAUCCUCAAAGAGGCCUAAGGAGGAUCAUAGAAUGACAGUAUCAUAGAAUCUUAAAGAUGAAUCAGAAUAUAAGAAUCACAUAAUUAUAAAAUCUAAAGGACCUUAGAUAUCAUCUAGUCUAACUGUCUCUCUCUCUCUCUCUCUCUCUCUCUCUCUUUCUCACAGAAAGAAGGAAGCUGAGCUGUAGAGAUGGAAAGGAUUUUCUCAAGGUCAUACAAGUCAGUGGUACAGCUGGGAUAAGAUCUCAGGUGUGCUGGUUCCACUUUGCUAUACCUUCUUCUGUGUCACAAUAUCAUUUCCUAAUGUGACUGGUCAGAGGCUAUUGUUGGGGGUUAAUAUUUCUUCAAUAAAAUUUUAUUUGACCU
RNAcentral lists this long non-coding RNA (1101 nucleotides) under Monodelphis domestica (gray short-tailed opossum). RNAcentral's name for it is "lncRNA (ENSMODG00000049293.1)". Lineage: Eukaryota; Metazoa; Chordata; Mammalia; Didelphimorphia; Didelphidae. The record is from RNAcentral.